Molecule: unclassified non-coding RNA, 205 nt
Filed under: Hevea brasiliensis (rubber tree)
Lineage: Eukaryota; Viridiplantae; Streptophyta; Magnoliopsida; Malpighiales; Euphorbiaceae
Source: RNAcentral
GAAAGUUUUGUGAUAUGUCUUUGCCCAUCCAAUAGAAAAAUUGAUCGCAGCUUUUGAGCACUCUUCAACAUGGAGGGAUUUUUAGGUACCACCUCAUUGCCAAACAUUGAUAAGUGGCGUGUCGCCACAGGAAUGAUAACCUCCUCGCCAAGUUCUGCUGUAAAACAAUCAACACCGCCUACAGAUUUGGCAAGAUCGUGAACAA